This 85-nucleotide transfer RNA is filed under the name Vibrio tasmaniensis. RNAcentral describes it as "tRNA-Leu". It matches the Rfam family "tRNA". From Rfam's summary of the family: Transfer RNA (tRNA) molecules are approximately 80 nucleotides in length. Their secondary structure includes four short double-helical elements and three loops (D, anti-codon, and T loops). Lineage: Bacteria; Pseudomonadati; Pseudomonadota; Gammaproteobacteria; Vibrionales; Vibrionaceae. The record is from RNAcentral.
GCCCACGUGAUGGAAUUGGUAGACAUGAGGGAUUCAAAAUCCCUUUCCUUCGGGAGUGGCGGUUCGAGCCCGCCUGUGGGCACCA